Molecule: ribosomal RNA, 167 nt
Filed under: uncultured bacterium
Lineage: Bacteria
Description: partial 16S ribosomal RNA
Rfam family: Bacterial small subunit ribosomal RNA
Source: RNAcentral
AGGAAGGUGGGGAUGACGUCAAAUCAUCAUGCCCCUUAUGUCUAGGGCUACACACGUGCUACAAUGGUGAGUACAAAGAGAUGCAAUACCGUGAGGUGGAGCCAAACUCAAAAAAACAGCCCAGUUCGGAUUGUAGGCUGAAACUCGCCUACAGAAGCCGGAGUUGC